ACUCUCGACAACAGAUAUCUUGGCUCUCGUAUCGAUGAAGAAUGUAGCAAAAUGUGAUGCUUGCUGUGAGUUACAGAAUCUCGUGAACCAUCGAGUCUUUAAAUGCAAGUUUCCCCCGAAGCCAUUAGGCCGAGGGUACUUCUGCCUGGGCGUCACGCAUCGCAUCUCCCCCUUCAUAUCGUGCCUCAAUCAUGGGGUGCGCUGUUGUCACGGGGUGGAUACUGGCCUCCCGUGCACCUUGAGCUCGUGGCUGGCCUAAAUGCGAGUCCAUAUCGACGAACGUACAAAAAGUGGUGGUUGUAUCUCAACUCUCUUUAUUGUUGAGGCAACAGCCCAUCGCGCAUCUAGACUCCAGGACCCUUUCGCACUUAGGCGCUCCGACCGCGACCCCAGGUAAGGUGGGAUUACCCGCUGAUUUUAAUCAUAUCAAUAAGCGAAGGAAAAGAAACUUACCAGGAUUUCUUUAGUAACGGCGAGUGAACCGGGAACACCCUAGCCUUAGAAUUGGGCGGCUCCGUUGUCUGAAUUGUUGUCUGGAGACGCGUCCUCAGGGGCAGACCGGGCCCAAGUCCCCUGGAAGAGGGAUCUAGAGAGGGUGAGAUCCCCGUUGUGCCCAGACCCUAUUGCAUUAUGAGGCACUGUCUACAAGUCGGGUUGUUUAGGAAUGCAGCCCAAAUCGGGCGGUGAAUUCCUUCCAAGGCUAAAUACGGGCGAGAGACCGAUAGAGAACAAGUACUGGGAGGGAAUGAUGAAAAGGACUUUGAAAAGAGAGUCAAAGAGUGCAUGAAAUUGACAGGAGAGAAGUGGAUGGGGGCUGGCGAUGCGCACCGGUCGAAUUUGGAACGGCAACGAGCCGGUCUGCCGAUCGACUCGGGGCGUGGACUAGCGUGGAUUGGAGAGGCGGCCGAAGCCCAGGCUCUCGAUAUGCUCGUAAAUGCCGUCUCCUCGAUUGUGGCAGGCAGCGCGCGCCUCCGGCGUGCUUCGGUAUCUGCACGCUCCGGACGCUGGCCUGUGGGCUCCCCAUUCGACCCAUCUUGAAACACAGACCAAGGAGUAUGACAUGUGUGUGAGUCAACGGGCGAGCAAACCCAUAAGGCGUAAGGAAGCUGACUGGUGGUAUCCCCCUAAGGGGUGCACCACCGACCGACCUUGAUCUUUUGAGAAGGGUUCAAGUGUGAACAUACCUGUCGGGACUCGAAAGAUGGUGAACUAUGCCUGAGCGGGGCGAAGCCAGAGGAAACUCUAGUGGAGGCCCGCAGCGAUACUGACGUGCAAAUCAUUCGUCUGACUUGGGUGUAGGGAUGAAAGACUAAUCAAAUCGUCUAGUAGUUGGUUCCCUCCAAAUUUUACCUCAAGAUAGCUGGAGCUCGCAUGCGAGUUCUAUCGGGUAAAACCAAUGAUUAGAGGCCUCGGGGGCGCAACGCCCUUGACCUAUUCUCAAACUUUAAAUAGGUAGGAUGGCGCGGCUGCUUUGUUGAGCCACGCCACGGAAUCAAGAGCUCCAAGUGGGCCAUUUUUGGUUAGCAGAACUGGUGAUGCGGGAUGAAUUGGAAGCCGGGUUACGGUGUCAAACUGCACGCUAACCUAGAUCUCACAAAGGGUGUUGAUUGGGAAUGGUUCCUUCGGGGGCCUUCCCUGCGCGUCGAACAGCCAACUCAGAACUAGUACGGACAAGGGGAAUCCGACUGUUUAAUUAAAACAAAACAUUGUGAUGGUCCCAACAGAUGUUCACGUAAUGUGAUUUCUGCCCAGUGCUCUGAAUGUCAAAGUAAAGAAAUUCAACCAAGCGCUAGUAAACGGCGGGAGUAACUAUUACUCUCUUAAGGUAGCCAAAUGCCUCAUCAUCUAAUUAGUGAUGCGCAUGAAUGGAUUAACAAGAUUCCCGCUGUCCCUAUCUACUAUCCAGCAAAACCACAGCCAAGGGAACGGGCUUGGCAGAAUCAGCAAAGAAAGAAGACCCUGUUGAGCUUGACUCUACUCCUACUUUAUGAAAUGACUUGAGAGGUGUAGUAGAAGUGGGAGCCGAAAGGCGAAAGUGAAAUACCACUACUUUUAACGUUAUUUUACUUAUUCUGUGAAUCGGAAGCGGGGAACUGCCCCUCUUUUUGGACCCAAGGCUCGUUCUGCGGGCGGAUCCGGGCGGAAGACAUUGUUAGGUGGGGAGUUUGGCUGGGGUGGCACAUUUGUUAAAAGAUAAUGCAGGUGUCCUAAGAUGAGCUCAACGAGAAUAGAAAUAUCGUGUGGAACAGAAGGGUAAAAACUCGUUUGAUUCUAAUUUCCAGUACGAAUACGAACUGUGAAAGAGUGGCCUAACGAUCCUUUAGACUCGCCCAUAUCCCUCUUUCAAAGAUAAUAUAGGAUCCAAAAGUAUACUCAUAUCCCUCAUUCAGUAAUGAUGUGAGAUUUUGGGAAUUUCAUGUUUUUACCCACAAAUUCCAAUUCAACAAACAAAUAUUAGUGAAACCCAACAUCUUUAAUCAAGAAUCUACACUAAUAAUUAAAACCCACUCACAUUUUCACCCUAUUCAAAUGUAAUACCAAGUUGAAUAUUUAACUACUCAUGAAAAUAGGAAAAAGAGAAUUAUCCAAGUUGACAUUCAUUUCCUCAAUUGAAAAUAAAGCAAAGUAAUCCCCAAAUUCCAAGCUCCAAUUACAACUAAAAUAUCCAUUUUGGAAUAUUCAAUACGAUUGUUCUUCUCACACUAGUUGGAUGUUUUCUCUAUAUUCUUCAAAAGUAGUUGGAAGAUGAUGCAAAAUUAAUAGGGUAUUUGCCUUUUGAAGGAUUGGAUUCAUCUAUGUGAAAUGACCAAUCUUCCUUUUGGAAAAUCCCAGGCCUUCAUGAUCGCUAGUCAUUGACCGUGAUCGUGACUCUCAUGAUUGCAUUGGAUCU
RNAcentral lists this ribosomal RNA (2890 nucleotides) under Capsicum annuum. RNAcentral describes it as "eukaryotic LSU rRNA". The stretch from base 385 to 2615 matches the Rfam family "Eukaryotic large subunit ribosomal RNA". The record is from RNAcentral. Lineage: Eukaryota; Viridiplantae; Streptophyta; Magnoliopsida; Solanales; Solanaceae.